RNAcentral lists this ribosomal RNA (377 nucleotides) under uncultured bacterium. Its description in RNAcentral is "bacterial SSU rRNA". It matches the Rfam family "Bacterial small subunit ribosomal RNA", at positions 28 to 407 of the family's 1533-position model. The record is from RNAcentral.
AUUGAACGCUGGCGGCAUGCUUUACACAUGCAAGUCGAACGGCAGCGGGGGCUUCGGCCCGCCGGCGAGUGGCGAACGGGUGAGUAAUGCAUCGGAACGUGCCCAGUCGUGGGGGAUAACACAUCGAAAGAUGUGCUAAUACCGCAUACGUCCUGAGGGAGAAAGCGGGGGAUCUUCGGACCUCGCGCGAUUGGAGCGGCCGAUGUCGGAUUAGCUAGUUGGUGGGGUAAAAGCCCACCAAGGCGACGAUCCGUAGCGGGUCUGAGAGGAUGAUCCGCCACACUGGGACUGAGACACGGCCCAGACUCCUACGGGAGGCAGCAGUGGGGAAUUUUGGACAAUGGGCGCAAGCCUGAUCCAGCCAUGCCGCGUGAGUG